GCACCUGGCCCAGACACUGUAAGUUUUGGGGAGGAUUAAAUGGGAUCAUCCAUGUAAAUGCGCCUAUCCCAGUCUCUAGCACACACUGAACACUCAAAAAUGGGAGGUUUUGGUAUUUCAGAAGAAAAUCAGGUGUCGGGGAGUGUUAGUAGUAACCUUGAACUAUAUGCAAAGACUAAAGCUAGGAAGAUAGGAAGAGUUUUACAAGAUCCUUUUGGCUAUAUAGUUAAAGUUAUUAGCAGUUAGAGUUUCCCUUACAGUUGACAAGUGAACCAUACAAGUGAAUGACUUGUGGUUCCUCAGAUAAAAGCACGAGUCAGAGUUGUAAUUUCUGUUUUGUGGACGUAAUUGUUGACCAAGUGCACUGAAGGUAGGGAUGGCCAGUAACAAAAUUAUAAAGCAGGCCUGUUUGUCUUCAAACACUCCUGAGUAAACUUGUCAUUUCCUUGUAAAAAUGCAAAAUAGACUACUGAGUAGAGGUGAUCAAUUACAGAAAUGCACUUACUUUGGCUUUCUUCUGAAACCUAAUAAAAUGACAGUAAAGGGAUUAUUUUUUUAAGGCAGAAACCCACAAUGAUGAUGAAAUUAGAAAGGAAGACAAGAACAACAAGGUUGUGGAAUUCAGAAGCCAUAUAGACAAGAGGUAACACACCUGAGAAAGAUGAUCCCUAAAUUUGUCUUGGAGAAAACUCAGAAGUACCUGACUACAUCAUAGACCUCCCAAACAGCUUCCAAAUGUCAGAUACCACUGAAAAUGGGGAUAAAGGUAGGGUCAAAAAUAGGAGGAUUGGGUUAUAAGUCUGUAUAAGAAGUUGUUAGAUCCCUACAUCCUCUCUUCAAACCUGUAUAGCCAGAUAAUGGUCCCUCUCCCAGCCUGGCAGAGGCUGGAAAAGGUAAAUAGAGAAACUUACUUCCUGGAGAACAUUUGGCACAUUUGGGGAUGGAGUUCAGUAAUAUAAAUGAAGGGGUAGUGAAAAUUUAUGGGAACAUUUAUAAGCUAACAGAACCCCAUGUCUUUUACCCCAUUCUAAUUCCAGACCACUAGAGAUUAGAAAAUUAUUCUCUGGGGUAUCUGACCACUUCCAGAGGAAAGACAUAAAGAUGCUGAUGUCGAGAAUGACCCAACUAAAUGGCCCAGCCAGAUGACCCAGUUGAAGCUGGUGGACAAGAAGUUUCAUUCAUGGAAUCAGAACUUCCAAUAAGCUGGGAAAACGGCAAUGGAUUAAUAACAAGAAAUUAAUGGUGAAGUGGUGACGAAAAUUCUACAUUGCUUAGAAAGCAAAUAGUGAAAUGAACAUUUACAUUCUGGCAACCUCAGAAGUACAACGAACAAAGGACACCAGCCAGAUGUGCCUUUUGCCUUCCGCCAUGAUUGUGAGGCCUCCC
This 1386-nucleotide long non-coding RNA is filed under the name Homo sapiens (human). Its description in RNAcentral is "HSALNT0352474". Lineage: Eukaryota; Metazoa; Chordata; Mammalia; Primates; Hominidae. The record is from RNAcentral.